AUGAAACCAAAGUCCUUUUUAGGCCUAUAAAGAAGUAUCUCUGAUGAAACACCAGCAAUCAUGAAGCGGAGUUAUCCCUCAGGAAGCCAGAAAAGAAAGAAGUGAAAGGAAGAAGAAGAUAAGAAAAACAGAUAGCGGUACUUGGCUUACAUUUCUAAGCCCUCUACCUACGGAUGCCUCCAUUGAUGAAGCUCCACAAUCAUCUCCACCUCUCAUUUGUGAGGAAGAAGAGGACAUGGGAGACUGUAUGCAGUGGUGCCAUGGCCUCAAUGUCAAUUGAGUCUGCACAAGUUCUCAGCUCUGAUGUUCCCUCUG
This is a long non-coding RNA of Sardina pilchardus (European sardine), 315 nucleotides long. RefSeq lists it as uncharacterized. The transcript has 3 exons. The record is from RefSeq and is a predicted model, not a curated record. Lineage: Eukaryota; Metazoa; Chordata; Actinopteri; Clupeiformes; Clupeidae.